GCACAUUGUGCUUGGAAAUACAGUCCACUGCACGCAAGGCUCAAGUCAGAGAGUCUAUAAAGAAAUGGUCUACCCAAGGCCAGAAAAUGCUGAGUGUCAGAGAAGGAUCCAAAGGUGACACAACAUAAUAAGGACAGAGGUGUGUCAAGCUUCCAUCCAGGACAAGAAGUGCCAAUGCUCCAUGAAGUGACAUGCCAUCAAAGCCUCCCAUGAAGAUGCUCCUGCUCUCAAACUCCUCCUUCGAUGGAUCACAGAUCCAGAUCCUGUCAACUCUGUAGAGGAACAGGAAGCCGUGCCCAGCAGGAAGGUGUUGCUUCGAGAAGCCCUGUGCCUUUCCCUUCACUGUGGCUGUGUUUUGACAGCAAGGGCUAAUCCCACUGACAGUGAGUUAGUCACAGCUUUCAUGACUAUGACAAGAUACCUGGGAAAACAACUGGAGGGGGAAAGGUUUAUUUUGGCUAAUGUUUUCAGAGGUCAAAGGUCAGCUGACUGGCUGGCUACAUUGUUUCUGGGCCUACAGUACAGCAGAACGCCAUGGUGAAAGGUCAUGGUAAAAUAGACGCUUUUAUCCCCCCAGCAUCCAGGCAACAGAGAGGAUGACAGGAAGUGAUUAGGGACAAAAUAUAAAACCGGAGAACAUGUUCCUAGUGACCCACUUCCUCCAAUCAGGCUCCAUUUCCUACAUCUCUAACAUGUUCAAAUAAUAUAAUUAAGAUAUGAACCCAUCCACGAAUCAAGCCAGGAAUGAAGGCGAGCCCUGGUGGUCCAGUCACCUAUCUAUGGUGCCAUCAGAUGAACAUCAAACCUUCAGCACAUAAACUUUUUAAAGGGACACAUCACAUGAAAACUAUAAAUGGGUCUAUUUUUUUUCUUAUAUCUCAUUUUUUUGGGGAAAACCUUACUCUUUAGUAGACUGCUUGCAGUUGGGUGGUUGCAAAAUCCCAAACCUGUGGAAGGAGACAUCAAACUACUGAAGGUCUAAAUCAAUAGAACCAUCUUCUCAGGGCCCGAUUGCACCAUCACUCUGCUCAUUCUCUCUUCCUUCUGAGUAUAAGACAGCCCUACCCCAACUGCUCCACAACCAUGAUCUCCAUGCCGUGCCCUCGUCUCUUGGCAGCUUCUAGAUUUACAGACGCAGGCAGCCAGCCAUCUCUUUCCCUCUGCAUGUUCUGCCAACAUUCUCUACUAGCUGUUGUUUCUGGUCAUGACACUGUUGCCCCGAGUCCCUGGACUCAGCCUGCCUUUAUGUAUGUCCCUAGUUAACCAGCUUUCUGCUUCUCUUCUUUAUGAUGACAAAACAUUGCUGCCCAUGGACACUGAGGAGGAAACUGAGGAAGACAAACAAUGCAGCAUCUUUCGGGUUCCCCUUCAUUUCUGAAACUGAUACCUCUUUCAAAUGAAAAUGUUUCUGACAUUUUAAAAUAUGCACCUCCAUUCCAAGAAGCACAAUAACAGAGGGAUCCCAUCGUGAGCACAGGGGAGCCAUGGACCUACCAGCACCAAUGAAGCUCUGCCUCAUGUACUCCCUCCAGGCCUUUAUUUCCCCCUUUUUCUUCAAAUACCUCUGAUAACAAACUGAGCCAGGUCAGCGUCAUUUAUGUGAGAUAAAACACACAAUCUUAAGUCCAGCCUUCCAUAAUGUUCUGUCCUGUAAUCUGAAAGUCCUUGGUUUUAAAACUCUCUCUACCCCAAUCUCAAUCCACUUCUUCAAAUUCCUGGAUUGGGCAAACCAUUUCCACUUUUCUGCAAUACCCUUCUACUCAGCUGGUGCUGAUCAGAAACUGACUCCCCGCUUGACAAGGAGGCCCGCAUUCUGCAUUUUGUGCAUUCUAAUCACUGGUGAUUUUAGCUUCCAUGUAAAAGAAUACAUCCUCAGGUCACAUCUUGGUUUACACAGACAUUAAGCUAUGUUGAGGUCUAUGUAUAUAAACUUAGUCAUAGAGCACCCGCCUAGAAAGGGCAAGGUUCUGGGUUUAAUCCUUAGCAAUACACCCUCGAAUUAAAUUAAAAAUCUUG
Arvicanthis niloticus (Nile rat) is the source of this 2016-nucleotide non-coding RNA. The record is from RefSeq and is a predicted model, not a curated record. NCBI's taxonomy places the organism in Eukaryota, Metazoa, Chordata, Mammalia, Rodentia, Muridae.